Molecule: long non-coding RNA, 735 nt
Filed under: Homo sapiens (human)
Lineage: Eukaryota; Metazoa; Chordata; Mammalia; Primates; Hominidae
Description: HSALNT0245511
Source: RNAcentral
AAAAUGUCCGCAUGAAAAGAUGUUUUGCCAAAGAUCGUAGGCUUCUAGAUGGGGGCUCUGCCUGAAAGGUGGGCGAGAGUUUAUCCUUCAGGGCAGCUGGGUAGAUCUGCAUUAAUGAAUCCACAGGCUGGUGCUUGUCCUGAACACCAAGGUCCUCAGGCGGAGCUUAUAAUUUAGUAGACACAUAAGCCACAAACAGAAGCCAGCUCUGUGUCAGGCCCCAUGAGAAGUCCGCAGGUGCGAUCUUCAAUUUGGAGACUACAGGAAGGAUGGCUGGGGAGGCCUCAGGAAACUUACAGUCACAGCGGAAGGCAAAGAGGAAGCAGGCAGCGGCUUCGUGGCAGGAGCAGGAGGAAGGCGGUGGGGAGGUGCUACAUACUUUUAAACAACUGGAUCUUGUGAGAACUCACUAUCACGAGAACAGCAAGGGGGAAUUCUGCGCCCUGAUCCAGUCACCUCCCACCAGGCUCCUCCUCCAACAGUGGGGAUUACAAUUCGACAUGAGAUUUGAGUGGGGACACAGAUCCAAACCAUAUCAGUGUCAUUAAAAAAAUAGUUGCCCUGCUAACUUUUUUAAUCCCCUGUAACUCUAAAUAAAAUAAUGAUGUGAACAUAACACAUUUAGAGUCCCUGGUUCAUUUCCUGGCUGUAUUAGUCUGUUUUCACACUGGUAUAAAGAUACUACCUGAGACUGGGUAAUUCAGGAAGGAAAGAAGUUUAAUUGAUUCACAGUUC